Molecule: ribosomal RNA, 355 nt
Filed under: Nitrospiraceae bacterium
Lineage: Bacteria; Pseudomonadati; Nitrospirota; Nitrospiria; Nitrospirales; Nitrospiraceae
Description: bacterial SSU rRNA
Rfam family: Bacterial small subunit ribosomal RNA
Source: RNAcentral
UUUAUGAGAGUUUGAUCCUGGCUCAGAACGAACGCUGGCGGCGCGCCUAAUACAUGCAAGUCGAGCGAGAAGACGUAGCAAUACGUUUGUAAAGCGGCGAACGGGUGAGGAAUACAUGGGUAACCUACCCUCGAGUGGGGAAUAACUAGCCGAAAGGUUAGCUAAUACCGCGUACGCUCCUUGGACUUCGGUUCAGGGAGGAAAGCGAGGCCGUGGGUCUCGCGCUCUUGGAUGGGCUCAUGUCCUAUCAGCUUGUUGGUGAGGUAACGGCUCACCAAGGCUUCGACGGGUAGCUGGUCUGAGAGGACGAUCAGCCACACUGGCACUGCGACACGGGCCAGACUCCUACGGGAGG